RNAcentral lists this long non-coding RNA (1000 nucleotides) under Pan troglodytes (chimpanzee). RNAcentral's name for it is "long non-coding RNA NONPTRT016107". The record is from RNAcentral. Lineage: Eukaryota; Metazoa; Chordata; Mammalia; Primates; Hominidae.
GGAGCCAUAUAACACACCUCUUUGAAAAUGACCGUCAUUUUUCUCACCUCUCAACAUUGGAAAGGGAGAUGGCUUUUCGCACUGAAAUGGGACUAUAUUAUUCCUAUUUCAAGACUAUUGUGGAAGCACCCUCAUUUUUGAAUGGAGUAUGGAUGAUUAUGAAUGAUAAACUGACUGAAUACCCGCUUGUCAUUAAUACAUUAAAAAGAUUCAAUCUUUACCCUGAGGUAAUUUUGGCCAGUUGGUACCGGAUUUAUACCAAAAUAAUGGACUUGAUUGGUAUUCAAACCAAGAUAUGUUGGACGGUUACCAGAGGAGAAGGACUCAGUCCUAUUGAAAGCUGUGAAGGAUUGGGAGAUCCUGCUUGCUUUUAUGUUGCUGUAAUUUUUAUUUUAAAUGGACUAAUGAUGGCAUUAUUCUUCAUAUAUGGCACAUAUUUAAGUGGCAGCCGAUUAGGAGGCCUGGUUACAGUGUUGUGCUUCUUUUUCAAUCAUGGAGAGUGUACCCGUGUAAUGUGGACACCACCUCUCCGUGAAAGCUUCUCAUAUCCAUUUCUUGUUCUUCAGAUGUUGCUAGUGACUCAUAUUCUCAGGGCUACAAAACUUUAUAGAGGAAGCUUGAUUGCACUCUGCAUUUCCAAUGUAUUUUUCAUGCUUCCUUGGCAGUUUGCUCAGUUUGUACUUCUUACUCAGAUUGCAUCAUUAUUUGCAGUAUAUGUUGUCGGGUACAUUGAUAUAUGUAAAUUACGGAAGAUCAUUUAUAUACACAUGAUUUCUCUUGCACUUUGUUUUGUUUUGAUGUUUGGGAACUCAAUGUUAUUAACUUCUUAUUAUGCUUCUUCUUUGGUAAUUAUUUGGGGUAUUCUGGCAAUGAAACCACAUUUCCUGAAAAUAAAUGUAUCUGAACUUAGUUUAUGGGUUAUUCAAGGAUGUUUUUGGUUAUUUGGAACUGUCAUACUUAAAUACUUGACAUCUAAAAUUUUUGGUAUUGCAGAUGACGU